This 466-nucleotide ribosomal RNA is filed under the name uncultured bacterium. RNAcentral describes it as "partial 16S ribosomal RNA". It matches the Rfam family "Bacterial small subunit ribosomal RNA", at positions 28 to 507 of the family's 1533-position model. The record is from RNAcentral.
GAUGAACGCUGGCGGCGUGCUUAACACAUGCAAGUCGAACGAUGAAGCCCAGCUUGCUGGGUGGAUUAGUGGCGAACGGGUGAGUAACACGUGAGUAACCUGCCCUUAACUCUGGGAUAAGCCUGGGAAACUGGGUCUAAUACCGGAUAGGAGCGUCCACCGCAUGGUGGGUGUUGGAAAGAUUUAUCGGUUUUGGAUGGACUCGCGGCCUAUCAGCUUGUUGGUGAGGUAAUGGCUCACCAAGGCGACGACGGGUAGCCGGCCUGAGAGGGUGACCGGCCACACUGGGACUGAGACACGGCCCAGACUCCUACGGGAGGCAGCAGUGGGGAAUAUUGCACAAUGGGCGCAAGCCUGAUGCAGCGACGCCGCGUGAGGGAUGACGGCCUUCGGGUUGUAAACCUCUUUCAGUAGGGAAGAAGCGAAAGUGACGGUACCUGCAGAAGAAGCACCGGCUAACUACGUG